AAGAGGUGUAUUAACAAUUAGAGCUGCUAACUCAAAUUACCAGGAAUAAAAUUCCUAGGCCUCUUA
Molecule: transfer RNA, 66 nt
Filed under: Podarcis hispanicus (Iberian wall lizard)
Lineage: Eukaryota; Metazoa; Chordata; Lepidosauria; Squamata; Lacertidae
Description: tRNA-Ser
Source: RNAcentral